RNAcentral lists this ribosomal RNA (929 nucleotides) under Ligilactobacillus animalis. RNAcentral describes it as "bacterial LSU rRNA". It matches the Rfam family "Bacterial large subunit ribosomal RNA", at positions 190 to 1115 of the family's 2925-position model. Lineage: Bacteria; Bacillati; Bacillota; Bacilli; Lactobacillales; Lactobacillaceae. The record is from RNAcentral.
GAACUGAAACAUCUAAGUACCCAUAGGAAGAGAAAGAAAAUUCGAUUCCCUGAGUAGCGGCGAGCGAAAAGGGAACAGCCCAAACCAAGAAGCUUGCUUCUUGGGGUUGUAGGACUGGACAUUUGAGUUACCAAGAAACGAAGUAGUUGAAUGAUUUGGGAAGAUCAGCCAGAGAAGGUGAUAGCCCUGUAAGCGAAACUUCGUUUCCUCAGCCCAGUAUCCUGAGUACGGCGGAACACGUGAAACUCCGUCGGAAUCCGGGAGGACCAUCUCCCAAGGCUAAAUACUCCCUAGUGACCGAUAGUGAACCAGUACCGUGAGGGAAAGGUGAAAAGCACCCCGGGAGGGGAGUGAAAUAGUUCCUGAAACCAUGUGCCUACAAGUAGUCAGAGCCCGUUAAUGGGUGAUGGCGUGCCUUUUGUAGAAUGAACCGGCGAGUUACGUUAGCGUGCGAGGUUAAGGCGCAAAGGCCGGAGCCGUAGCGAAAGCGAGUCUGAAUAGGGCGAAUGAGUAUGUUGACGUAGACCCGAAACCAGGUGACCUACCCAUGUCCAGGUUGAAGGUGCGGUAAGACGCACUGGAGGACCGAACCCGUGUAUGUUGAAAAAUGCUGGGAUGAGGUGUGGGUAGAGGUGAAAUUCCAAACGAACUUGGAGAUAGCUGGUUCUCUCCGAAAUAGCUUUAGGGCUAGCCUCGGAGUUAAGGAUCGUGGAGGUAGAGCACUGUUUGGACUAGGGGCCCGUCUUGGGUUACUGAAUUCAGAUAAACUCCGAAUGCCACAGAUCUAUAUCCGGGAGUCAGACUGCGAGUGAUAAGAUCCGUAGUCGAAAGGGAAACAGCCCAGACCACCGAUUAAGGUCCCUAAAUAUGUGUUAAGUGGAAAAGGAUGUGGAAUUGCACAGACAACUAGGAUGUUGGCUUAGAAGCAG